GUCCACGCCGUAAACGAUGCGUGCUAGACGUUGGGGGGCUUGCCCUUCGGUGUCGCAGCUAACGCGCGAAGCACGCCGCCUGGGGAGUACGGUCGCAAGAUUAAAACUCAAAGGAAUUGACGGGGGCCCCGCACAAGCGGUGGAGCAUGUGGUUUAAUUCGAAGCAACGCGCAGAACCUUACCAGCCCUUGACAUGGGGCGUACGGCCCUGGGAGACCGGGGCCAUCAGUUCGGCUGGCGCCCACACAGGUGCUGCAUGGCUGUCGU
This 267-nucleotide ribosomal RNA is filed under the name uncultured bacterium. RNAcentral's name for it is "partial 16S ribosomal RNA". It matches the Rfam family "Bacterial small subunit ribosomal RNA", at positions 793 to 1055 of the family's 1533-position model. The record is from RNAcentral.